Molecule: ribosomal RNA, 253 nt
Filed under: uncultured bacterium
Lineage: Bacteria
Description: partial 16S ribosomal RNA
Rfam family: Bacterial small subunit ribosomal RNA
Source: RNAcentral
UACGAAGGGGGCUAGCGUUGUUCGGAAUUACUGGGCGUAAAGGGCGCGUAGGCGGCCUUCUAAGUCGAACGUGAAAUCCCUGGGCUCAACCCAGGAACUGCGUCCGAUACUGGAAGGCUUGAAUUCGGGAGAGGGAUGCAGAAUUCCAGGUGUAGCGGUGAAAUGCGUAGAUAUCUGGAGGAAUACCGGUGGCGAAGGCGGCAUCCUGGACCGACAUUGACGCUGAGGAGCGAAAGCUAGGGGAGCAAACGGG